This 971-nucleotide long non-coding RNA is filed under the name Actinidia chinensis (golden kiwifruit). RNAcentral's name for it is "long non-coding RNA (ACHI_LNC007224)". The record is from RNAcentral. Lineage: Eukaryota; Viridiplantae; Streptophyta; Magnoliopsida; Ericales; Actinidiaceae.
UAUGAUGAUGAAUAAAGAGAAAAAUGAUUGUGUUUUCUUUUCUUCCAACCUUUGAUUCUAGCAGAAGUCAAACUUCCCCCUCCCCUUCUACAUUCUUGUUAUAUUUAUAAAUUUUUUAAUAUUGAUUGAUCGUAGAGAUUCAAUUUUAUUGUUGUCCUGCGUCAUGUUAGACACUGAUAAUCCAAAUUUUUAGAGACUUCCGUGCUUCCUAGAGAAAAAUCAUUACAGAAAUUUGACUAGCAUCGAAAGCCUUCAUCUGCUGUCUUUCUUGUUGUGACAUCCAAACAUUCAAAAAUAAAUGAUUUUCCUGGUAGUCCUGGUUUUCCCAGAUCCUGACCUCCCACUUGAGGUGCAAAAACAAGACAAACUAACGUUGGGGAUUUUUCCUAUCAAACACAAUUAGAAGCAACCAACAUUGACCAGCACUACUUUUGGUUAUGCCGCAGAGGUCUAAAGAAGUGCAGAAGUCGCAUCAAAUCUAUUUCAUCCUCCUCCAUCAUUUCAACAAUUCCUUGUGUUGGCUGUUGAGUGGAGGCACGCGGUUUAAGCAAUGAUUUAUAAACUAACAAACUGGCAAGACCCAAAUGCCUAGCAACCUUAAGGCCCAGCUGACCCUAGGGUAAGCCCAUCAAGGCAUUGGACUUGAGCAACCAUCAGCCCCCCAAAAAAAUAAAAAAUAAAAAAUAAAAAUAAUAAUUCACCUCCAUCACUCGCGUCAUUUUACAUUCAAUGUGAUUGUCAUAACUUAAACCUUGCACUAUGUGAUAUGGCAAAACCCUUGCUUCUCUUCACCACCUAUAACUUACAUCAAGACCCUUGCUUAAAUGCAGUUGGACCCUGGAACAUCAAAUGUCUAUAAUAUUUUGUUGUUGUAGAACUUGAACAGUAGAAGCACUCUCACUCAACUUUGUCUCACUCACUCACCAAGUGUAUCACUCUUAGAUUUCUUGUUGGCUUUCUUGUGUUUAAAA